CAUUCUGAUGUCGUUUAUCUGUCAGAAAAGUUUGGAGCAGAAUUCUUACAUCAACUGUCAAAGGCUCGAAUGCACCUCUGGGUCGCCACAUUUGGGACGUCCUGCGCAUUAGUAGCGCAACGCCGAGUGUCGGAAAUGUAGACAACGGCACCUCCCACACACGGAAGUAUAUUCAAGUUUUCAGUGGCGGGUUCUUUACUCUUAUAUGUAAAAGUAACAGUCAAGCAAUGACCGAGAAACACCAAACUGUAUCCAAACUAAAAAGAAGGAAAACUUCACUUGAAGAUUGUAAACCAGAGCAACUUCAUCGGACUUUACCUAGAGAGAGCAUCGGAGUCUUUCUUGCACAACAGGAACAGCCAAGUUGCAAAAGAGCAUGCGACAGCCCCAGUGGAGCCCUGCGUGGUCAGGAAUGGUGGGCCCAGUCAGGGCUGUCCCCCCUGGAGAGGCUGUGGGCCAUCACUCUGCAGGCCUUCAGUGCCCAGCCUCCAGAGACCUCCAGCACUGAGCUGCUGCCCGAGCUCCCACCGCCCCUCACACCGACAUGUGCCAGGGAGAAGCGAGCAGAGUGGAGGUGGUGUUGCCUUGACGACGAGGUGGGCGCUCUUCCAGAGAUGCCCGUGGUGGCCCAGCAUCCACCCGUGAGCUCUGCCAGCUCAGGUCAGCCUGUGCCUGUUGCCCCUGCCAACGCCGUUCCCACGGAGACCACGUGCCUCUCGGACCGCGCCGCCCCAAAACGCAUGUGCGCCGGCGCCGGUGCCAGGGCCCGGGCUGGCGGGGAGGAGGGGCGGCAGCGCAGUGCCACAGUUUCCGUGCCAACGUCUCAGAGGUGCCACCAGAGUGGCGAUAAAGGGCUGAGGGGCGUUGGUAUGGCAACCACCAGGCCUGCCACCUCGUCCGCGUCGUCGUUGGCAGUGGCGACAGAUACCCGGACAAGAGGAGGGCGAGAGCCAGCUGCUGGCACUGCUGCCACGGCAACAGCUAGUGUCACACUGGAAACGUUCUUCAGUGCAGGCAGGGGAGGAGGAGGAGGAGGAGGAGGAGGAGUGAAGAAGGAAGGGAUCAAACAGCGCCCCCCCACAGAUCACCAGUCGGGGACCGGUGUGCCCCCCACCCCUUCAGCAGGGCAGCAGGGGGCAUCAGUGGAGGCCAAGAGAGGCGGGGGGGCAGGAGCCCGAGAUCUGGAUUGCUGCCCUAUGUGCCUGAUGCCUUUCCCUGCAGGGUUCUCCCAGAUGGACUGUGACGGCCAUCUUGCCCAGUGCCUGUCCGAGAUGAACACAGACAUGAUGUGGUGAUCCUUCCGUGUCUCCGUGUUUGUUUGUUUGUGUGUGUGUGUGUGUGUGUGUGUGUGUGUGUGUGUGUGAGUGUGUGUGAGUGUGAGUGUGUGUGAGUGAGAGAGAGACUUCCACUGUUUGUUGUUGGAUUAAAUUGUGGAUUAAAAAUGGCAUGGUACUGUCUGUCUGUGCAUGAUGUCAUUCGUUACUUUAAACUCUAUGGCUGGAUUCCAGGUCCUGAAAAGAGACACACCUAGGACCCUAAUGUGACGGUGGAAAUGGCAGCCCCAUUGCACUCCCACACACACACACACACACACACACACACACACACACACACACAGGCAGCCCAAGCGCAUUGAUGCACAAUAAAGACAUGCUUCAGAGCGAUUGUUAAGGGCCAAAAAUAAUUAGUGAAAGG
Molecule: long non-coding RNA, 1695 nt
Organism: Clupea harengus (Atlantic herring)
Lineage: Eukaryota; Metazoa; Chordata; Actinopteri; Clupeiformes; Clupeidae
Source: Ensembl